AUCCCCUCUCAGCCCUUUGGCUAAGAUCAAGUGUAGUAUCUGUUCUUAGCGGUUUAAUCAUAAUCUGGGUAAGAAACAAGUCACACAAUGUAGAUUUCACAAAGGGAGGGACACAUU
RNAcentral lists this small nuclear RNA (117 nucleotides) under Zalophus californianus (California sea lion). RNAcentral describes it as "U2 spliceosomal RNA (ENSZCAG00015018107.1)". It matches the Rfam family "U2 spliceosomal RNA". From Rfam's summary of the family: U2 is a small nuclear RNA (snRNA) component of the spliceosome (involved in pre-mRNA splicing). Complementary binding between U2 snRNA (in an area lying towards the 5' end but 3' to hairpin I) and the branchpoint sequence (BPS) of the intron results the bulging out of an unpaired adenosine, on the BPS, which initiates a nucleophilic attack at the intronic 5' splice site, thus starting the first of two transesterification reactions that mediate splicing. The record is from RNAcentral. Lineage: Eukaryota; Metazoa; Chordata; Mammalia; Carnivora; Otariidae.